UACGUAGGUGGCAAGCGUUGUCCGGAUUUACUGGGCGUAAAGCGUGCGCAGGCGGUUCGUUGUGUCGGCGGUCAAAGCCCCGGGCUUAACCUGGGAAUGGCCGUUGAAACUGGCGAACUGGAGUGUGGCAGAGGGGGGUGGAAUUCCGCGUGUAGCAGUGAAAUGCGUAGAGAUGCGGAGGAACACCGAUGGCGAAGGCAGCCCCCUGGGCUGACACUGACGCUCAGGCACGAAAGCGUGGGGAGCAAACAGG
This 253-nucleotide ribosomal RNA is filed under the name uncultured bacterium. RNAcentral describes it as "partial 16S ribosomal RNA". It matches the Rfam family "Bacterial small subunit ribosomal RNA", at positions 524 to 776 of the family's 1533-position model. The record is from RNAcentral.